Unclassified non-coding RNA from Callithrix jacchus (white-tufted-ear marmoset), 166 nucleotides. It matches the Rfam family "Metazoan signal recognition particle RNA". Rfam says of the family: The signal recognition particle (SRP) is a universally conserved ribonucleoprotein. It is involved in the co-translational targeting of proteins to membranes. The eukaryotic SRP consists of a 300-nucleotide 7S RNA and six proteins: SRPs 72, 68, 54, 19, 14, and 9. The record is from Ensembl. NCBI's taxonomy places the organism in Eukaryota, Metazoa, Chordata, Mammalia, Primates, Cebidae.
GCCAGGUGUAGUGGUGCACACCUGUAGUCCCAGCUACCCAGGAGGCUGAGGUGGGGGAAAUUCUUGAGCCCAGGAGUUUGGGGCUGCAGUGAGCGAGUUACAAUGAGUGUGUCUAUGAAGAGCCAUUGAGCUCCAGCCUGAGCCACAUAGUGAGACCCCAUCUCAG